This 492-nucleotide ribosomal RNA is filed under the name uncultured bacterium. RNAcentral's name for it is "partial 16S ribosomal RNA". It matches the Rfam family "Bacterial small subunit ribosomal RNA", at positions 29 to 507 of the family's 1533-position model. The record is from RNAcentral.
AGUGAACGCUGGCGGUAGGCCUAACACAUGCAAGUCGAACGGCAGCACAGUAAGAGCUUGCUCUUACGGGUGGCGAGUGGCGGACGGGUGAGGAAUACAUCGGAAUCUACUUUUUCGUGGGGGAUAACGUAGGGAAACUUACGCUAAUACCGCAUACGACCUACGGGUGAAAGCAGGGGAUCUUCGGACCUUGCGCGAUUGAAUGAGCCGAUGUCGGAUUAGCUAGUUGGCGGGGUAAAGGCCCACCAAGGCGACGAUCCGUAGCUGGUCUGAGAGGAUGAUCAGGCACACUGGAACUGAGACACGGUCCAGACUCCUACGGGAGGCAGCAGGGGGGAAUAUUGGACAAUGGGCGGAAGCCUGAUCCAGCCAAACCGCGGGGGUGAAGAAGGCCUUCGGGUUGUAAAGCCCUUUUGGUGGGAAAGAAAAGCAGCAGGUUAAUACCCCGCUGUUCUGACGGUACCCAAAGAAUAAGCACCGGCUAACUUCGUG